This is a long non-coding RNA of Apis florea (little honeybee), 2383 nucleotides long. NCBI's taxonomy places the organism in Eukaryota, Metazoa, Arthropoda, Insecta, Hymenoptera, Apidae. The record is from RefSeq and is a predicted model, not a curated record.
ACAAACAUUUUAUUUUUAUUUUAAAUUUCAGAUAUUAAUAAAUAAUUGAUAACAUUUUUAUACAUAAUACGUAAUCAAUUAAAAUAAAAAGGCAAUAUUUUCAGAACAAAUGCUCGAUAAGAAAUAGAAGAAAAAUAUCAAAAAGAUAUUGCUUCUUCUUCUAUCAAUCCCCACUCCUCUAUUAAUUUAAUGUUAAUUUCAGAAAAUAUUUGUGACCGCGUGCAAUGCGGUUAAUAGAAUCAGUGUUUGCUUCGUCAUAGUAUUUUGAAUAUUUUUUAGAGCACGAUAGCUCUGAUUAAAUGUAAUUAGAAUAAUCAAACGCGAAGGUAGAAUCAGUGUUUGUUCGCCGACUAUAAUUUAUACGGACGCGUUAUUAGUUUCUUAUUUUUAUUUUUUUUAAUUUUAAAUAUUCGUUUUCGGUACAGAGUAGAAUCAGUGCUUCACUCAAGAGAAUAAGGCGAUCAUCCACCACGCGAAGAGAUGCUGAUGAUAUUUAUGAAGAUUUUUCUGGGACUUUAAAAAAUAUUUGUGAUCACGCGCAAUGUGGUUAAUAGAAUCAGUGUUUGCUUCGCCAUAGUAUUUUGAAUAUUUUUUAGAGCACAAUAGCUCUGAUUAAAUUUAAUUAGAAUAAUCAAACGCGAAGGUAGAAUCAGUGUUUGUUCGCCGACUAUAAUUUAUACGGACGCGUUAUUAGUUUCUUAUUUUUUAUUUUUUAUUUUAUUUUAAAUAUUCGUUUUCGGUACAGAGUAGAAUCAGUGCUUCACUCAAGAGAAUAAGGCGAUCAUCCACCACGCGAAGAGAUGCUGAUGAUCUUUAUGAAGAUUUUUCUGGGACUUUAAAAAAUAUUUGUAAUCACGCGCAAUGUGGUUAAUAGAAUCAGUGUUUGCUUCGUCAUAGUAUUUUGAAUAUUUUUUAGAGCACGAUAGCUCUGAUUAAAUGUAAUUAGAAUAAUCAAACGCGAAGGUAGAAUCAGUGUUUGUUCGCCGAUUAUAAUUUAUACGGACGCGUUAUUAGUUUCUUAUUUUUUAUUUUUUAUUUUAUUUUAAAUAUUCGUUUUCGGUACAGAGUAGAAUCAGUGCUCCUCUCAAGAGAAUAAGGCGAUCAUCCAUCACGCGAAGAGAUUUCUUUCACUCUUCUACUUGAUGACAACCUUCUUCUGGGCUACAAUAUCAGUGAGGGAGAGGAUUCGUCGCAUCGUAUGGUGAGUCGCAUGCUUUUUGGUUCCUCCGAUCGCUCAACCAUGUCGUAGGAUGAAAGAUCCGAAUCGACACGAGUGAUUGGUUGUAUACGUAGAAUUUUGCACGAGCACAAUGACCACGGAUAUUUAUUUAUAAUAAAUAUCCGCGAGUAGUAACAAUUAUCUCUUUUGUGUUUUAUUUAUUAGUUCAGGCUAGGAUCUUCUUACGCUUCGCGUUUUUUUUUGAUUAAUAUAAAAUGUUUAAAUGUAAAAUAUAAUUUUCUAAAACAUAUAAUAAUUAUUAUUACAUAAUUAUUGUACUAAUAUCGAACUACAAUAAUUAGUUUGAAUUUGUAUAAUUCAAAAUCUUUCAAAUAAUUCAAAAUUCAAAAAAGAAGAUAACAUUUUAAAUUAUUUGACCAAUUUGAUUAUUGUGAUUGUCAUAUAAUAAUUUCAUAUAACUUCAAUAUGAUUUAUAAGAUUGAUAGAUAGUAUAGAAGUUCAAUUUUUAUUCGUGCAAAUGUGAAUUAAAUUUUGUGUAAGAAGAUAUUUCGCGACAGGCAGAUUUUAGAAUCAGAGCAAUAAAUUUUGAAUAUUAUUCUUGUGACUUUAAAAAUAUGCUCUGACGAAGGAAUCGUCUGAGGGUAUUUCUAUUAAUAUUUAUAUUAAAUAAUAAAUGAAUUCUAAUUCAAUAUUACUUUUUAAAUUCAAUAUUAAAAAUUUAAUAUAUUAAAAUUUCAAUAACUUGUUCAAUUAAUGGAAUAAAAUAUAAUAUAGAGUCACAAAUAAUUUGAAAUAUAUAAUAAUUUAAAUAAUUAUAUAAUUUGAAAUAUAUAAUGGAAAGAAUAUUAGCCCGUUAGAUACAAAAUGGAUAUAUUAAUAUAUUUUUAGCUCAGGAUUUUCAGGUUUAACCCUUUCCAUGUUCAUUGCCAGGAACUCACUCACGUGCCCAGGUGUUACUUGAGCGAGGGAGAGGCAAUGGGUAUGAUGAUCUUAGCUGAUAAGUUAAUACAAUUUUUUUAGCGACUGACGAUGCGUUAGUGUAUCGUGCACGACGUAUUUUCCACAUUGUGUGUUUGUGGUUAGGCUGUGGAAUUGCGUCGUUUCAAUUAUUAUUUCUUUCACUAUUCAAUCACAAUUUACAAUCACAUUCGCAAUUAAAUAUUGCUAAUAAAUAAUAAAUAACAAGAUUACUAAUCUUUAGUC